UAAGACGUAGGGUCCAAGCGUUGUCCGGAUUUACUGGGCGUAAAGAGCGCGUAGGCGGUCUAUUAAGUGUGAAGUGAAAUCUCUAGGGCUCAACCCAGAAACUGCUUCGCAUACUGAUAGACUUGAGGAAUGCAGAGGUCAGUGGAAUUCCUGGUGUAGCGGUGAAAUGCGUUGAUAUCAGGAGGAACACCCAUGGCGAAGGCAGCUGACUGGGCAUUAUCUGACGCUGAGGCGCGAAAGCGUGGGUAGCAAACAGGAUUAGAUACCCUGGUAGUCCACGCCCUAAACGAUGGAUACUAGGCGUAAGAGGUAUCGACCCCUCUUGUGCCGCAGCUAACGCAUUAAGUAUCCCGCCUGGGGAGUACGGCCGCAAGGUUG
Molecule: ribosomal RNA, 378 nt
Filed under: uncultured bacterium
Lineage: Bacteria
Description: bacterial SSU rRNA
Rfam family: Bacterial small subunit ribosomal RNA
Source: RNAcentral